UGCCUCGUCGAUCUCAUCUCCACCUCCAUCCCCAAACGACGGCGAUGAUCGAGGGCGCCGCCCCAGCUCCUGGCUGACGGAUUCGCCGGCUCCCCGCUCCUUGGGGCCAGCCCCUCCCACGGCGACGAUGGAGGGCGCUGCCCAGUUCCCGGCCGAUGGAUAUGCCGGCUCCCCUCUUCUCGGGGCCAGCCCCUCCCCCGUGCCGGGUCGAGCCUCGGCUUGGAGGCCCUUGGGGCUGCCGUCGGUGCGGGAGUCCCGCGCGGCCAUGCGGGCUGGGGACCGAGCGGCGGGCUGGCCACCUGUGCCCUGUCUACCCUGCUGCUGAGCCAUCCUUGUACCGUUGCACACAUCUUCGCACCACCCGGCCAGCCUCUGGUGCGCACCUCUGCUUUUACUAGCCGCGAACCACGAGCAUCACCUGUUUGGUGUUGCGCCUACGAGCGUGUUGGAGAAAUCUGUGUCCUGAGGGUGGCGGAGAUUGAUGCGGAGAGGAAGACGACGGCGACAGAGAGCGUGUGUACUCCAGCCUGUUGGAUUUAUCACAGAUGCCCCACUAAUUUGGCUUGAUGUACAAUGUCAGAUUCAAGAAAAAAAAUGUGUUUUCUAUGUUCUACUAUAGAUCACCAGACUGCGUUGUAUGGAGCGGAACAGAACCAACUGGUCUGCAUCUCCUUCAAUGGCACCCUGCAUCUCUAUCAAUAGCACUCUGCAGCAAGCUUGCUUUCUCUACAUCUACCAUCAACUACCAUGCAACAAGUUCAGUUUGAUGUUAAGAGGAGGCGUUACAGGUAUUUUUUAUGGCACCCCAUGUUAGUCAAUGGAUUUUGUUUAUGUUUCUGGUGGAGAUGAUUCAGGUGAAGUAAUGUUUGUUUCUUAUGAAUAAACUAAGCGAUGAAUUUAAGAUUACUUGCCUGGUAUAUCUAAUUGUAAUGUGUAUCAUGCUCAAGCAAAGGUAUGAUGACUGACUACUGAUAUUUCCUAAUACAUUUGUAUUUUUUGUUUUACUAACUUUCAGAUUUCUCAAAAUCAUGAUUAUUACAUAGUGUGUAUAAUCUUUUCUUGCUAGCUCUGUACUAUGAUUUUGAGGAAUCCGCCAAUGCAAAAAUAAGAUAGUUGUAUGUAGUACUCCAUCCGUCCGGAAAUACUUGUCAUCAAAAUGGAUAAAAGGAGAUGUAUCUAGACGUAUUUUAAUUCUAGAUACAUUCCUUUUUGUCCAUUUUGAUGACAAGUAUUUCCGGACGGAGGGAGUAGUUAUGUUAUACAGGUUCUGUUUGAUGUGUUUCGGAAGGGAGAGAUCGAUGAUUUUGGAAUAUAAAGCUUCAUAUGAUUUUUUUCCUCCAAGGCUCAAUUAUUCCAAAAUUUGGUGUUGACUAUCCCACGAUUUCAAGCUGACUAUCCCACGAGACAACAAUGGUUCAUAGAAUUUGGGUGUAUUCUCCCGUUGCAACGCACGGGCACCUUUACUAUAUGUCGAGUUAUGGUUUCAUGAUAAACAGAGCACGCACCAAAUUUUGAUGAAUUGCUUGAAGAAAAUGCAUCGGGUCUUUUCUUGCGUCCUUCAAGUCUUCAACCAGGAUACAUUUCUAGAGCUAAAAUUUCUGGGCAUCAAGAAGUAAUUAACUAUGCUUCAAGUAAGGAAGUUAUUUGGUAUAACUAUUUUGAGGACUAAAUUACUAGCUCAAUGUUUGGAAGUUAUUGAGCUGCAGAUAUGGCAUGUGCGUACACGAAGACCUGAUGCAUCAAAGCUCGGUGUGGACACACCUCUUCUUACAGGACAGAUGUUGAUUUUUCAUUUCCUUCCAACGCCAUUAAAUCCCAGUCUUAUGUAAUUUGAAAUGGCUCCAUCGUGUGUGAUGUAUCCCUCCCCUCAGCUUUUGGAGGAACAUGGUGCUAUUUGGUGCUUUUGUUUGUGGAAAAAAUGUCAUUAGUCAGGAACUUUCUAAGAUGGUCACCUGACUGCUCUAUUGUCAUGGACGUGGGAAAACCUUUGUCUAUAGUAUUUUCUUGGUACCAUCUC
This is a long non-coding RNA of Triticum dicoccoides, 2017 nucleotides long. RefSeq lists it as uncharacterized. NCBI's taxonomy places the organism in Eukaryota, Viridiplantae, Streptophyta, Magnoliopsida, Poales, Poaceae. The transcript has 4 exons. The record is from RefSeq and is a predicted model, not a curated record.